AUAUCAUUAAGAGGAGGAAAAGAAACUAACUAGGAUGCCUUUAGUAGCGGCGAGUGAAGUAGGCAAAGCUCAAUCUGAAAAUCAGCAGGGAGUAACAUUCCUUGCCGAAUUGUAGUUUGGUGGAAGAGUAUUUACUGGCUGGUGUGGGAUGAAGUGUAAGUCCCUUGGAAGAGGGCGCCAGAGAGGGUGACAGCCCCGUACAGGACCGCGGCAACGAGGAAGUCUGCCAGUGGCGUAUUGCCGUUUCGCCGAGUCGGGUUGUUUGGGAGUACAGCCCUAAAUGGGUGGUAGAUUUCAUCUAAAGCUAAAUACGGGCGGGAGACCGAUAGCGAACAAGU
RNAcentral lists this ribosomal RNA (338 nucleotides) under uncultured yeast. RNAcentral describes it as "partial large subunit ribosomal RNA". It matches the Rfam family "Eukaryotic large subunit ribosomal RNA", at positions 40 to 349 of the family's 3401-position model. Lineage: Eukaryota; Fungi. The record is from RNAcentral.